Molecule: ribosomal RNA, 785 nt
Filed under: uncultured Neocallimastigales
Lineage: Eukaryota; Fungi; Neocallimastigomycota; Neocallimastigomycetes; Neocallimastigales
Description: partial large subunit ribosomal RNA
Rfam family: Eukaryotic large subunit ribosomal RNA
Source: RNAcentral
GAGAGAGACAUGCGCGCAUAUCAAUAAGCGGAGGAAAAGAAACUAACAUAGGAUUCCCUCAGUAACGGCGAGUGAAGCGGGAAGAGCUCAAAUUUGAAAUCUUCAAGGGUUCUACCUUUACGAAUUGUAGUUUAAAGAAGUGUUUUCUGUUGAGGUUUUGGUAAAAGUUCUUUGGAAUAGGACAUCAUAGAGGGUGAGAAUCCCGUAUUUGACCUUUACUUUCAACUUUGUGAUACACUUUCAAAGAGUCGGAUUGUUUGGGAAUGCAGUCCAAAAUGGGUGGUAAAUUUCAUCUAAAGCUAAAUAUUGGCGAGAGACCGAUAGCGAACAAGUACCGUGAGGGAAAGAUGAAAAGAACUUUGAAAAGAGAGUUAAACAGUACGUGAAAUUGUCAAAAGGGAAGCGUUUGACACCAGUGUUGUUUUUCUCGAAAAUCAAUUAAAAGAAGCAUGAUUUAUGCUAAGUUGUAUUAGACUUUAUCAGCUUAACUGCUAGCUCUUUCUUGUCUUUUUUAAUGCACUUUUCAGUUAACAAGUCAACAUCAAUUUCUUUUGUUGUAAAAAGGUCAUUGAGGAAGGUGGCUUGCGAUUCGUAUAAAGUGUUUAUAGCCUCUUGCCUAUGCAGUCGGAGAGAUUGAGGUCUGCAGCGUAGAUCCUUCGGGGCUAAAUGCAUUUGUGCUAAGUUAUAGCAUUUUAUAGACAACUUGUUGACUAUGAUUUGUCUUGUAGCUUACUCGCUUAUGUUAUUUUACCUACGCUUAGGAUGUUGAUGUGAUACUGCGAGCA